Molecule: ribosomal RNA, 254 nt
Filed under: uncultured bacterium
Lineage: Bacteria
Description: partial 16S ribosomal RNA
Rfam family: Bacterial small subunit ribosomal RNA
Source: RNAcentral
UACGUAGGGUGCGAGCGUUGUCCGGAAUUAUUGGGCGUAAAGAGCUCGUAGGCGGUCUGUCGCGUCGGUCGUGAAAACUUGGGGCUUAACCCUGAGCUUGCGGUCGAUACGGGCAUGACUGGAGUUCGGCAGGGGAGACUGGAAUUCCUGGUGUAGCGGUGAAAUGCGCAGAUAUCAGGAGGAACACCGGUGGCGAAGGCGGGUCUCUGGGCAUUAACUGACGCUGAGGAGCGAAAGCAUGGGGAGCGAACAGG